UACGUAGGGUGCAAGCGUUAAUCGGAAUUACUGGGCGUAAAGCGUGCGCAGGCGGUUCCGUAAGAUAGAUGUGAAAUCCCCGGGCUUAACCUGGGAAUUGCAUUUAUGACUGCGGGACUGGAGUUUAUCAGAGGGGGGUGGAAUUCCAAGUGUAGCAGUGAAAUGCGUAGAUAUUUGGAGAACACCAAUGGCGAAGGCAGCCCCCUGGGAUACGACUGACGCUCAUGCACGAAAGCGUGGGGAGCAAACAGG
This 252-nucleotide ribosomal RNA is filed under the name uncultured bacterium. RNAcentral describes it as "partial 16S ribosomal RNA". It matches the Rfam family "Bacterial small subunit ribosomal RNA", at positions 524 to 776 of the family's 1533-position model. The record is from RNAcentral.